RNAcentral lists this unclassified non-coding RNA (218 nucleotides) under Hevea brasiliensis (rubber tree). Lineage: Eukaryota; Viridiplantae; Streptophyta; Magnoliopsida; Malpighiales; Euphorbiaceae. The record is from RNAcentral.
GUUGCAGAUCUUCGUCGUACAGCAUCUGCAGUUGUGUGAUAGUCCAGCUGUUAUCAGAGUAUGAUGAUUACCCUGAAAGGGAACCACAUUCAGACAUCCCCUUCCGCUGAUGCAUGGUCAAUUCUUGUUGCUUACACAUUGGCAUCCUUUAGGGCUUGGAACUGUUUUAUGGAAUCUUUCUUUUAGGAGAGGAACAAUCUCUUCCUUAGAAUUCUGCC